GUUCUUGCCAUGUUCCUGGCCUUUGAAAAAUCAAUGGGACUGAGCCCUGAGUCUUCCUUAAAGCUUGAGCAGACGAGAUUGCAGAUAUGUUUCAAACAUUUGAACUUUGGUUAUUUCAACUUAAUUUAAAGCACCCUUCAAAAUAUUUUAAUUAUGAAUCCUGUAGAAACCCUUUAUUUGGUUUUUCUUUUCUUCCUCUUGGUUUUUUACAACAGGAAAUAUUAAAUGUCAAGAAAAGUGCCAUGCCAUUAUCCAAAUUAUCUUUUAAUUAGUACCAGUUUAAGCAUUGAUUACAUUGAAAAUCAUUUCAUUUCAGCCACAGCGUCCUGUGUUUACUCAUGAAAACAUUCAAGGUGGGGGGGAACCGUAAGUAUUCUUCUUAUCUUCUAAAUUUGAGACUAACCUUGACCCACAAAACAGACCAUUGAUGUACCAUAAGUGAGGAUGGUACAACUUUGCACAUGAAAGAGACCAGAGUAACUAACAUGAGAUAAGACCUCCCUGAUUAAGAGUAAUUGCAAUAACUUCCAUCUUUCACAACAGAGAACAGAAGCUACUUUUGAAA
RNAcentral lists this long non-coding RNA (565 nucleotides) under Bos taurus (domestic cattle). RNAcentral's name for it is "long non-coding RNA NONBTAT016503". The record is from RNAcentral. Lineage: Eukaryota; Metazoa; Chordata; Mammalia; Artiodactyla; Bovidae.